This 497-nucleotide ribosomal RNA is filed under the name uncultured bacterium. RNAcentral describes it as "partial 16S ribosomal RNA". It matches the Rfam family "Bacterial small subunit ribosomal RNA", at positions 28 to 507 of the family's 1533-position model. The record is from RNAcentral.
GAUGAACGCUGGCGGCGUGCCUAAUACAUGCAAGUCGAGCGAACAGACGAGGAGCUUGCUCCUCUGACGUCAGCGGCGGACGGGAGAUUAACACGUGGAUAACCUACCUAUAAGACUGGGAUAACUUCGGGAAACCAUAGCUAAUACCGGAUAAUAUAUUGAACCGCAUUGUUCAAUAGUGAAAGACGGUUUUGCUGUCGCUUAUAGAUGGAUCCGCGCCGAAUUAGCUAGUUGGUAAGGUAACGGCUUACCAAGGCAACGAUGCGUAGCCGACCUGAGAGGGUGAUCGGCCACACUGGAACUGAGACACGGUCCAGACUCCUACGGGAGGCAGCAGUAGGGAAUCUUCCGCAAUGGGCGAAAGCCUGACGGAGCAACGCCGCGUGAGUGAUGAAGGUCUUCGGAUCGUAAAAUUCUGUUAUUAGGGAAGAACAAAUGUGUAAGUAACUAUGCAGGUCUUGACGGUACCUAAUCAGAAAGCCACGGCUAACUACGUG